GUCUAUGGCUAUGCUACCCUGAAUAAGCCUGAUACCUGAUCUCGGAAGCUAAGCAGGCUAGGGCCUGGUUAGUACUUAGAUGGGAGACCACCUAGGAAGACCAAGUGCUGUAGGCA
RNAcentral lists this ribosomal RNA (116 nucleotides) under Pteropus alecto (black flying fox). The record is from RNAcentral. Lineage: Eukaryota; Metazoa; Chordata; Mammalia; Chiroptera; Pteropodidae.